AAUCUUGCGCAAUGGGGGAAACCCUGACGCAGCAACGCCGCGUGAGUGAAGAAGGCUUUCGGGUCGUAAAGCUCUGUCAGGUGGGAAGAAUUACUUGGCGCUAAUAUCGCCAGGGGUUGACGGUACCACCAGAGGAAGCACCGGCUAACUCCGUGCCAGCAGCCGCGGUAAUACGGAGGGUGCAAGCGUUGUUCGGAAUUACUGGGCGUAAAGAGCGUGUAGGCGGUUGAUUAAGUCAGGUGUGAAAGCCCUUGGCUUAACCGAGGAAGUGCAUCUGAAACUGAUCAACUUGAGUACGGGAGAGGAGAGUGGAAUUCCUGGUGUAGAGGUGAAAUUCGUAGAUAUCAGGAGGAACACCGGUGGCGAAGGCGACUCUCUGGACCGAUACUGACGCUGAGACGCGAAAGCGUGGGGAGCAAACAGGAUUAGAUACCCUGGUAGUCCACGCCGUA
Molecule: ribosomal RNA, 452 nt
Filed under: uncultured marine bacterium
Lineage: Bacteria
Description: bacterial SSU rRNA
Rfam family: Bacterial small subunit ribosomal RNA
Source: RNAcentral